This 446-nucleotide ribosomal RNA is filed under the name uncultured bacterium. RNAcentral describes it as "bacterial SSU rRNA". It matches the Rfam family "Bacterial small subunit ribosomal RNA", at positions 64 to 518 of the family's 1533-position model. The record is from RNAcentral.
CAGAUGAUAGCUUCGGCAGGAUCAGAUGAUUCCAGCGGCGGACGGGUGAGUAACGCGUGAGCAAUCUGUCCCAGACAGGGGGAUAACACUUGGAAACAGGUGCUAAUACCGCAUAAGACCACGAGGUCACAUGAUCUUGAGGUAAAAGGAGCAAUCCGGUUUGGGGUGAGCUCGCGUCCGAUUAGCUAGUUGGCGAGGUAACGGCCCACCAAGGCGACGAUCGGUAGCCGACCUGAGAGGGUGAUCGGCCACAUUGGAACUGAGACACGGUCCAAACUCCUACGGGAGGCAGCAGUGGGGAAUAUUGGGCAAUGGGCGAAAGCCUGAACCCCCAGCAACGCCGCGUGAGGGAAGAAGGUUUUCGGAUCGUAAACCUCUGUCCUUGGUGAAGAGAGAGAGACGGUAGCCAAGGAGGAAGCCCCGGCUAACUACGUGCCAGCAGCAGC